RNAcentral lists this transfer RNA (73 nucleotides) under Mycobacterium terramassiliense. RNAcentral's name for it is "Mycobacterium sp. AB308 partial tRNA-Arg". The stretch from base 13 to 73 matches the Rfam family "tRNA", at positions 1 to 59 of the family's 71-position model. From Rfam's summary of the family: Transfer RNA (tRNA) molecules are approximately 80 nucleotides in length. Their secondary structure includes four short double-helical elements and three loops (D, anti-codon, and T loops). Further hydrogen bonds mediate the characteristic L-shaped molecular structure. tRNAs have two regions of fundamental functional importance: the anti-codon, which is responsible for specific mRNA codon recognition, and the 3' end, to which the tRNAs corresponding amino acid is attached (by aminoacyl-tRNA synthetases). tRNAs cope with the degeneracy of the genetic code in two manners: having more than one tRNA (with a specific anti-codon) for a particular amino acid; and 'wobble' base-pairing, i.e. permitting non-standard base-pairing at the 3rd anti-codon position. The record is from RNAcentral. Lineage: Bacteria; Bacillati; Actinomycetota; Actinomycetes; Mycobacteriales; Mycobacteriaceae.
AACUGAAGACAGGCGCCCGUAGCUCAACGGAUAGAGCAUCUGACUACGGAUCAGAAGGUUGGGGGUUCGAAUC